This 497-nucleotide ribosomal RNA is filed under the name uncultured bacterium. Its description in RNAcentral is "partial 16S ribosomal RNA". It matches the Rfam family "Bacterial small subunit ribosomal RNA", at positions 28 to 507 of the family's 1533-position model. The record is from RNAcentral.
GAUGAACGCUGGCGGCGUGCCUAAUACAUGCAAGUCGAGCGAACAGACGAGGAGCUUGCUCCUCUGACGUUAGCGGCGGACGGGUGAGUAACACGUGGAUAACCUACCUAUAAGACUGGGAUAACUUCGGGAAACCGGAGCUAAUACCGGAUGAUAUAUUGAACCGCAUGGUUCAAUAGUGAAAGACGGUUUUGCUGUCACUUAUAGAUGGAUCCGCGCCGCAUGAGCUAGUUGGUAAGGUAACGGCUUACCAAGGCAACGAUGGGUAGCCGACCUGAGAGGGAGGUCGGCCACACGGGAACUGAGACACGCCCCAGACUCCGACGGGAGGCAGCAGCAGGGACUCCUCCGCGAGGGGGGAAAGCGUGACGGAGCAACGUGGCGUGAGGCAUGAAGCUCUUCGGAUCGUAAAACUCUGUUAGUAGGGAGGUACAAAUGUGUUAGUACCGAUGCACGUCUUGACGGUACCUAAACAGAAAGCCACGGCUAACUACGUG